Vespa velutina is the source of this 3019-nucleotide RNA transcript. RefSeq lists it as uncharacterized. Lineage: Eukaryota; Metazoa; Arthropoda; Insecta; Hymenoptera; Vespidae. The transcript has 5 exons. The record is from RefSeq and is a predicted model, not a curated record.
UUAUGCUCGUAGUAUUUUAUCGGAAUAUGGCUUUAAAUUUUCUUGAAUAACGCUAAGUACAAUAUGUAACAUAUGUAAGUACAUAUAUCAUACAUAAUAUAUACAUUUAUAUCGACCGUGGUCAAGGUCAUGACCAAUGCCAAGUGAAUAUAACACAAGUCGUCAGGUUUCAUAGCAAAUAAAAGAAGAAACGCAUAGAAGAGUAAAUAAGAGUAUAGAAAGAGUAUAAUAGAGAUAAAAAUAAUAUGUCAUGGUUUAUGGUUCAAUAUACAAAGCAGAAACCACGUAUAUGAACGCAGAUGAUGUUAUUAAAUAAAUAAGUUUCCAUAAUUAACGUUAUUUUAAAUAGGUAAUAAAGUAUAUAUAUAUAUAUGCUGUUAAAUGAAUCAAAUUAAAAUAUGAAUAAAUAUAUUUGUAAAUAGAGAAUCAUAUUUGAUGUAAUAUCAUUUAUAGAAAAAUUAGAAAUAGUAUGUAUUUAUAUAAUUGUUAAUUCUGUUUUAAUGAUAAUUCUGUUUUAUCGACUGAUCCGACGUAAUUUGUUAUAGUAGUUCGUCAAGAGUAAAACGAAGACGAGGGCGAUACUUAAGCUUUGUGUUUUCGUUGUCAGUUCCAGACGAUUUUAUUUUUCCGUAUUGGGUGUGUCGUAAUAUAAUCUCGACGAAAAUUAUUCUCGAUUAUGUGUUAUUUUCUUCUUAUUCGAUAAAAAAAAUUAAACGUAUUAAUAGUUCAACGAAGAAUAUAAUAAAGUGACAAAAGGAAGGUAGCAAUAAAAUAUUAAAUGUCAAAUUUUAUUAAAACAAUUACGUACAAAGAUAAUGUUGAUUUGUGGAAGAAUAAGAAAUAUCUUAUAAAAGAGGCAUUUAAAUCAAUGGAUACAGAUUCAGAUGGUUAUUUAGAUUAUCAAGAAGCCAAAACGGCAAUGAAAGCUUUAGGAUUGACAGUAAAUAAAUCUUUUGUUUUGUCAGUUAUUCGCAUGUAUGAUAAACGUGGUAACGAUAAAAUUAGUUUCGAUGAUUUUUAUUAUGUUGUAUUUGAAAAGUUAAAAAUACAAGAUCCUAUUGAUCAUGUUAAAUAUGCAUUCAAGAUAUUUACUGCAGAGUCUUCGAUAGAAAAAAUCAGAUUGGAAGAUUUACAAAGAAUUAAUAGUAAAAUUGAUUCUAAUCUGACGCUUGAUGAGAUGAAGCUUAUGAUCAAAGAAUUUGAUAAAAAUGAGGAUGAUUCUAUCGAUGAAGCUGAAUUCAUAGAAAUGAUGACCGAAUCAGAAAAUUAAUAUAUAUUUGUAGAAAAUUAUAUGAGAGGCUACAUUCGUUUCGUCGAUUAAAAUGCAUUCUCAAAUUAAUUGGGACGCAGAGCAUCGUCGUACAUUACUUGAGACUAAUGCUACUUUGGAACGUACAACGCAAUCACUGACAAGGUCACACAUAAUCGCAACUGAAAGUGAGCAAAUAGGGACUGAAGUAAUAUCGGAAUUAGCAGGGCAAAGUGAGCGUCUGUUACGAGCAAAAAGAAGAUUGUCCCAAACGGAUGAAGAACUUAAUAAAACACGGAGGAUUUUGAAUAGAAUGAAAAUAGGAGUGUUAACUAAUAAGUUUGUAUUAUUGCUUAUUAUAGUGUUAGAAAUAGUUAUACUUGGUAUAACUGUUUAUUUAAAAUUUUUUUAUCGAAAAUAAUAUUAACGAUUUAACGUUUAAGAGAAUAUUUAACUUGUUAAAUUCUUACGUAUUUUGAAUCAUUUUUUAUUGUAAAUAAAUUAUGAUUGAAAAUAUUUUUCAAAAUAAAUUAUAGAUUUGAAUAAUUUUCUGAACCUUCGAGUGCCAUCUUUCGGUUAAAUGAUCGAACUUCCAAGUAUAUCGUCGAUUAUAAGCUACAUCGAUAUUUAUAUAUAUAUAUAUAUAUAUAAAUGAAAACAUUCCUACUUGUAGCGUUGUAUAGGUUAAAGCAAGUAGAGAUGGCGCUGGUGAAUGUCCUGAAAAAAGAGGGUGUGAUCUUUCUCUUAUUUAUUUUACAUUUAUAGGCUAAUAGUGACAAUUACAGGUGACUGUUCGUCGAUGUUAUUCGAUAAAGAUAGUUAAAUAGAUAUGAGAAGUUAACAUUGUCGAUACAGUAACUCUAUUAAAUCUUUGCACUUCAAUAUCUCAUGGAGCUACAACAAAAUGAUCAAAGUGAAGAUACAACUGCCAUGGAGCAUCUUCAGUUUGAUUUAGAGAUGGAUGCUAUUACUGAGACAGCUGUGUUUUAUUCUACUCCACGAAAAUCCCUUCGGGGUAGACGAAAAAAAACAAUGGAUGGCAGAUCUCAAUUGCAAACUUCUUUGUUAAAAUCGAAUUAUAGCACUAACGCAGAACAAAAAAUAGGUCCAAAAUAUCGGCCUAUAUGGCCAAAGCCUUAUCAACCAAGUUUUUUAAAUAAGCCAAAAAUAUUUGGUUUACCUUCCACAAUGAAUGAAUUUUCUGCACUAAAUUCUGCGAGUCGAAUUAUUGUUACAACCACUUUGCCAUCCAAGGAAAAAAUACAGGAUUGUACGACAUUGAGCAAGCCUAAUAAGAGAACACGUAAUUAUUCGAAAUCCAUAACAGGAAAUUCUAACAGCUUGAAAUUAUUAACGAAAGAAAAUGGUAAUGAAAAAAAUAAUAAUAAAAACAAUGCUACUUCACGGAAAGAGUUUAGUUUCAUUAAAAUGCAAGAUAGAGAUAACAAAGGUAGCAUUGAGUUAUUUUUUGAAAGUAUGGCACAGACUGUUCUUAGUUUACCCAUGCAUGUCCAAGCUGAAAUUAAAAUGGAAAUUUGUAAACUUGUUACAAUGGCAGAAAUCAAAUAUUCUUCGACUCAAUCAAAACACGACUGUAAAAUAGAUUGACAUAAAUAAGGUAAAAAGAUUCUUUUUACCUUACUUAUUAAAACUUUAGGUACUAUUUUAAAUAGCUUAAAUGUUAUUUGAAAUGUUAAGUUAAUAUCUAUAUAAAUAAUGUUUAAAGUGAAAUGUAAUGUACAUAAAAUAUAAUAAGAAUAUUAUUCUAAA